Molecule: long non-coding RNA, 294 nt
Filed under: Nicotiana benthamiana
Lineage: Eukaryota; Viridiplantae; Streptophyta; Magnoliopsida; Solanales; Solanaceae
Description: long non-coding RNA (NBEN_LNC001689)
Source: RNAcentral
CUGAUUUGUCGAUGUAACAGUGAAAUGUUGAUAACCUUCAGACACACCUUCUAUCAGUAACUUUGGAGUUGUAUCAACUGCCGCAGCUGCCAAGGCUUGUUGCUGCCCAUGCUGUCCAAAGUUUUCAACCAGCUGAGUUGAAACUCUAGAGAUAUCCACGUCUGCUGGUGAUUCGAAUUUUGAGGCUUCUAACAUAUCUGACUUCAAACUACCAUUCUGCAUUGCCCCAAACUGUUCAGUUGAUAUUAUGGCUUGUACAUUACUUAUGACUGCAUGGUUUUUGGCUGUUGAAAC